GACGAACGCUAGCGGGAUGCCUUACACAUGCAAGUCGAACGGAGUGGCGAACGGGUGAGUAAUGUAUCGGAACGUGCCCAGUAGCGGGGGAUAACUACGCGAAAGCGUAGCUAAUACCGCAUACUAUUGGAGCGGCCGAUAUCGGAUUAGCUAGUGGGAGGGGUAACGGCUCACCAAGGCGACGAUCCGUCGCUGGUUUGAGAGGACGACCAGCCACCCUGGUAAUAAGACACGGCCCCGACUCCUACGGGAGGCAGCAGUGGGUAUGUUUGGACAAUGGGGGAAACCCUGACCCAGCCAUCCCGCGUGUGCGAUGAAGGCCUUCGGGUUGUAAAGCACUUUUGGCAGGAAAGCGGUACCUGCAGAAUAAGCACCGGCUAACUACGUGCCAGCAGCCGCGGUAAUAC
This 407-nucleotide ribosomal RNA is filed under the name uncultured bacterium. Its description in RNAcentral is "partial 16S ribosomal RNA". It matches the Rfam family "Bacterial small subunit ribosomal RNA", at positions 28 to 526 of the family's 1533-position model. The record is from RNAcentral.